This 208-nucleotide long non-coding RNA is filed under the name Medicago truncatula (barrel medic). RNAcentral describes it as "long non-coding RNA (MTRU_LNC006840)". Lineage: Eukaryota; Viridiplantae; Streptophyta; Magnoliopsida; Fabales; Fabaceae. The record is from RNAcentral.
CAGAUGGGAAUGAAGAUAUUCAUCAAAUAAAAUUGUCAAAAACCUCCAAAUCAAAUCGAUGAAAUACCAAAGGUAUCCAAAAAUAAUAUGUAUUUUGUUUUUUUGAAAGGAUCCAUAAAUAUUAAAUUAUUAUCCAUUUAAUUGUUAAAUAUUCAAUAUUUAAAUGGUGGCUAACAUUCAUUUGUACAUUACAAAAUUUGAAUGAGCU